UCUGGUAUGUCAAAUCGAAACUAAUUAACCAGUUGGUGUCUUAAGGUAAGUUUGGCAGAUUCGAUCAAGUGAUUUUUAAUUGAGAGCUAUUCACCUAGAUGCAUCUACGGUGAGUUAAGGACAAAUCCCUCCCGCUGAUCUUACUUACCUGGCCAACAUGGUAGAUUAUAUUUUGAUUAGAUCACUAGUCGAUUCGUGCAGACCCAUACCAUUAAGGUGAAUCAGUGUGACUGAUUUAGG
This 240-nucleotide long non-coding RNA is filed under the name Elaeis guineensis (African oil palm). RNAcentral describes it as "long non-coding RNA (EGUI_LNC082602)". The record is from RNAcentral. Lineage: Eukaryota; Viridiplantae; Streptophyta; Magnoliopsida; Arecales; Arecaceae.